Long non-coding RNA from Drosophila santomea, 727 nucleotides. RefSeq lists it as uncharacterized. The transcript has 3 exons. Lineage: Eukaryota; Metazoa; Arthropoda; Insecta; Diptera; Drosophilidae. The record is from RefSeq and is a predicted model, not a curated record.
AUGGCGCAAUUUAUUUCCAGUUUGAUUGGUUUUUUCGUGCUUAAUUGCACUUGGCGUGCGGGGGGUGGGGUGAUGCCGACCCUCCAAUUGGAAUUGGUGUGGGUGUUAGUGUGGGUGCUGGCUGGUAGUUGCCCCAAUUGGUUGAAAGGUCGCGCUCAUCACGUGCUUUAAUAAUUUAUUCAAAUUAACACGCGUCAGCCUGCCUUUCCGCUUCCCUUGGAAACUAACUGUUACUGCGUUUAUGCGGUGCUCUUGUCGCAAACUAUAUCGACAAAAAACUUUCACAGGAAUCGACAAAUUACGAAGUAUAUUACCAAAUGGUGACAAAUUCGUUGGUACAUCCCACAAAACUAUAUAAUAUGGAAACGUGCGGCAUAAACGUGGCAUGGGCCAGCGGGUGGCUCAGACUGCGCUCGGUUAAUGGCCAACACUUUGUGGUCAGAGCAAACCGGAAAAACUGGCAGGCAAAUGCAAAAUAUUGCACACAAGCACCCACUUUCACACACUUUCGGUCGCCACCUCCUUUCCGCUUUUCAGCCCAUUUUCACCUCCCGGGAAAGUGUGACUCGAACAGAGACCAGUUGAGCGGAGGAAUAUUCUGGGCCGACACGAACUUUUGACACUUGACAAUUUGAUUGUUUUAAAGGCAAAGUGUUAAAUUAUGCAAAGCACAUAACAAACACAAAUCGAAUGGCACGGCACGCACGCACAUACUGUAUCAACAGCA